This 480-nucleotide ribosomal RNA is filed under the name uncultured Bacillus sp. RNAcentral describes it as "bacterial SSU rRNA". It matches the Rfam family "Bacterial small subunit ribosomal RNA", at positions 41 to 514 of the family's 1533-position model. The record is from RNAcentral. Lineage: Bacteria; Bacillati; Bacillota; Bacilli; Caryophanales; Bacillaceae.
CACGGGCCCAAAAUCCUUGCAAGUCGAGCGAGGUUCUUCGGAACCUAGCGGCGGACGGGUGAGUAACACGUGGGUAACCUGCCUGUAAGACCGGGAUAACUUCGGGAAACCGAAGCUAAUACCGGAUACUUUCGAGCAUCGCAUGAUGCUUGAUGGAAAGACGGUUUCGGCUGUCACUUACAGAUGGACCCGCGUCGCAUUAGCUAGUUGGUGAGGUAACGGCUCACCAAGGCGACGAUGCGUAGCCGACCUGAGAGGGUGAUCGGCCACACUGGGACUGAGACACGGCCCAGACUCCUACGGGAGGCAGCAGUAGGGAAUCUUCGGCAAUGGGCGAAAGCCUGACCGGGCAACGCCGCGUGAGCGAUGAAGGCCUUCGGGUCGUAAAGCUCUGUUGUUAAGGAAGAACAAGUACGAGAGUAACUGCUCGUACCUUGACGGUACUUAACGAGAAAGCCACGGCUAACUACGUGCCAGCAG